AAGGAGUCUAACAUAUCUGCGAGUAUUUGGGUGUCAAACCCGAGUGCGCAAUGAAAGUGAACGUAGGGGCCACGCGCAAGCUGCAGCUUCGACCGAUCUGGAUCUUUAGGGAUGGAUUUGAGUAAGAGCAUGUAUGUUGGGACCCGAAAGAUGGUGAACUAUGCCUGAAUAGGGCGAAGCCAGAGGAAACUCUGGUGGAGGCUCGUAGCGAUUCUGACGUGCAAAUAGACCGUCAAAUUUGGGUAUAGGGGCGAAAGACUAAUCGAACCAUCUAGUAGCUGGUUCCUGC
This 289-nucleotide unclassified non-coding RNA is filed under the name uncultured fungus. Its description in RNAcentral is "partial contains 5.8S rRNA, ITS2 and 28S rRNA". It matches the Rfam family "Eukaryotic large subunit ribosomal RNA", at positions 668 to 961 of the family's 3401-position model. The record is from RNAcentral. Lineage: Eukaryota; Fungi.